GAUGAACGCUGGCGGCGUGCCUAAUACAUGCAAGUCGAGCGAACAGACGAGGAACUUGCUCCUCUGACGUUAGCGGCGGACGGGUGAGUAACACGUGGAUAACCUACCUAUAAGACUGGGAUAACUUCGGGAAACCGGAGCUAAUACCGGAUAAUAUAUUGAACCGCAUGGUUCAAUAGUGAAAGACGGUUUUGCUGUCACUUAUAGAUGGAUCCGCGCCGCAUUAGCUAGUUGGUAAGGUAACGGCUUACCAAGGCAACGAUGCGUAGCCGACCUGAGAGGGUGACAGGCCACACUGGAACUGAGACACGGUCCAGACUCCUACGGGAGGCAGCAGUAGGGAAUCUUCCGCAAUGGGCGAAAGCCUGACGGAGCAACGCCGCGUGAGUGAUGAAGGUCUUCGGAUCGUAAAACUCUGUUAUUAGGGAAGAACAAAUGUGUAAGUAACUAUGCACGUCUUGACGGUACCUAAUCAGAAAGCCACGGCUAACUACGUG
Molecule: ribosomal RNA, 497 nt
Filed under: uncultured bacterium
Lineage: Bacteria
Description: partial 16S ribosomal RNA
Rfam family: Bacterial small subunit ribosomal RNA
Source: RNAcentral